Molecule: ribosomal RNA, 53 nt
Filed under: Petrocoptis pyrenaica
Lineage: Eukaryota; Viridiplantae; Streptophyta; Magnoliopsida; Caryophyllales; Caryophyllaceae
Description: partial 28S ribosomal RNA
Source: RNAcentral
CCCAGGUCAGGCGGGGCUACCCGCUGAAUUUAAGCAUAUCAAUAAGCGGAGGA